This 257-nucleotide long non-coding RNA is filed under the name Lathyrus oleraceus (garden pea). Its description in RNAcentral is "Pisum sativum (pea) long non-coding RNA (PSAT_LNC004486)". Lineage: Eukaryota; Viridiplantae; Streptophyta; Magnoliopsida; Fabales; Fabaceae. The record is from RNAcentral.
UGGUUUCUGUUGAUGUUGGUUCAUAGAGCUUGAGAUCUAACUUAUUUUCCUUUCAAUUUAGUGUUAUAUUUCAUUGAUUUCUUCUUUCUGUUUUAGGAUGGUUUGUUUUGACUAGUUCUCUUGUUUUAUGUGUUAUUUUACUUUCUUGUUCUGACUGUUCUAUUUUUCAGUUCCAUUAAGAAACAGUUGUUGGUGUAUUUUGCUGUAUCCUAAAUACAAAUAAGUGAAUAACUAUUAUUAAUAAGUAAUGAAAUUGU